Syngnathoides biaculeatus (alligator pipefish) is the source of this 726-nucleotide long non-coding RNA. RefSeq lists it as uncharacterized. The record is from RefSeq and is a predicted model, not a curated record. The transcript has 3 exons. NCBI's taxonomy places the organism in Eukaryota, Metazoa, Chordata, Actinopteri, Syngnathiformes, Syngnathidae.
GUCGUUUUGCUCACGCCAUUAGGUUCAAGUAAUGCAGCCGACACGCGUGGCCAACUUCAGGCUUUUUGCAUCGUCGAAUUCGGGACGGCACGCCAAUGGUUCGUCCACGACACAGGUCGCACAGAAGAAUGGCGGAAGUAAGUCCGCGAUAUUCGCUAUUGUGCUGGGGGUGGAGGACGUUUUGUUGCUGCAGACAUGUACAAUGAGAGAACCCAAGUUGCAAGCCAAGCCAAGCCAAGUCAAGGAUUGUGAUGCUGACCAAGCAGUAGAUGGCAGAUGUGGAACUGCGUACUUUUCAAAUGACCAAAUUCAUUACGUCAUCGCAGAGAUUUUAAAGUGGGUCCAGCCUGGAGUACUCUCUUUUUCGGAGUCGCUUGCAGCUAAGUGUGUUCCUGUUAGCAUUACAAUCGGCUCCUCCAAAUCACUUUAUUCUAGCUUCAGCAAACUUUGACUUUGAUGGAUUUUUAAUUCUGUGUAAGUCUUUUUAAUGUUUGAAUAUUUUUCUUGCUUGCUUGGCUUUACGUGAGUAAUUGUGUUCAACUUAUCAUCCAGCCUAAUCAUUGAAGUUUUAACUUGACCAGCGGAAAAGAACUGGGCAAUGGAGGUUUGGGCGGCCGGCAGGUUGUAUUCGAGCCUUGAUCCUCCUCCCCCUCCCCCUUUUCUAACCCUCGAACAGGGGGGGGGGUCGGUAACCUGCUGCUCUUUAGCGCUGUCCGAGUGGCUCCC